GGGCUUGUGGUGUAAUGGUAGCAACCGGGAUCUCACUAAUUGGUAACCGGGGAUGUCGGUUCAAAUCCGGCCAAGUCCC
Poronia punctata is the source of this 79-nucleotide non-coding RNA. The record is from the annotation of a GenBank genome assembly. NCBI's taxonomy places the organism in Eukaryota, Fungi, Ascomycota, Sordariomycetes, Xylariales, Xylariaceae.